GUGCUAAGUUGUUUAGGGAAAACUAGGUAUUAAGUUUCCCCGGUUGACACAGGGUGGUGAGUGUUACUGGGAUUUCAGCUGGAACUGGCUUAUCCUCUGUGUGUGACACGCUAAUGUCUCAGGCUGGCCCAAGUUUACGUGAUGAUUUUUAUUCCUGCUCUUCCUGUGAGUUGCAGGCUCCUCUCGUGUUUCCUGUGGGAUGCAGCUGUCCUGCCUCUUUGUUCACCUGUCAUAGCGCUAUUUGUGCAGAAGGUCUUGAGCCUUCCCCAGACCUACCGAGCCUACCUCACCGAUUCUCAGAACUUGUACUGCUCUGAUCUCCAACAGCGUAAACUAAAUGCAAACACUGAUGAGGGGAAGAAAUUUUC
Long non-coding RNA from Galeopterus variegatus (Sunda flying lemur), 368 nucleotides. RefSeq lists it as uncharacterized. The record is from RefSeq and is a predicted model, not a curated record. The transcript is spliced from 3 exons. NCBI's taxonomy places the organism in Eukaryota, Metazoa, Chordata, Mammalia, Dermoptera, Cynocephalidae.